RNAcentral lists this transfer RNA (68 nucleotides) under Marmota monax (woodchuck). RNAcentral describes it as "tRNA.Ala". The record is from RNAcentral. Lineage: Eukaryota; Metazoa; Chordata; Mammalia; Rodentia; Sciuridae.
GGACUGUAGCUCAGUGGCAGAGCGCUUGCCUAGCAUGUGUGAGUUACUGGGUUCGAUCCCCAGUACCA